This 833-nucleotide unclassified non-coding RNA is filed under the name Hevea brasiliensis (rubber tree). The record is from RNAcentral. Lineage: Eukaryota; Viridiplantae; Streptophyta; Magnoliopsida; Malpighiales; Euphorbiaceae.
CAAAAAAAAAAAAAAAGAGAAAAAGGAAGCGUAUGAACAGAACUACCUACGUAAACAAAGUGACAACAUCUCGACGAUAUCCACGAACUAUCAAAAGCCUGGGUACAUUUUCAACCAAUAGGUCCAUGUAUUCCAUGUAGAAAAAUGCUGGAUGAUUGGCAGGAGGAGGAGGAAGACUUACAAACACAACUGCAGCCAUCCUCGAGUAUUUUAGAAUCGUUGAAUUCAGCUUCAAAGUGGUAUACAGGAAUUUCUCAACUUGCUGCUCAUUGACAACCACUGGUUUUCCAUCAGCCAUCAAAGGAGUCUUAUCCCUCUCCGCUCUCUCUUUCAUCUCUCCCAGAUAACUAGCUAUUCUUCCCUGAGCAGCACUGAAUGCUUCAAUAGAUUCUUGCUGCUCCCCUUGGCCUUCCCAUGACUUCAUGGAAAUGACAAUUACCUCAGCUUGCAUCCGAAGGUCAUAAAGAAAUUUCUUUACGUCGGCCUUGAGUCCCUCUGCAUCAGAAUCUUCCUCAGCAAUGCAGAAAACCUGGAUCUUACAGCCCUCAAAGCUAUCUUUUGUGAGAAGCAGUUGAGAUAGCAACAGCAUAAGACCACCAUCUCUGACUAUCCAGUACAAAUCAAUGGUUCCAUACUGUCUUUGAUACUCAUUAGGCCAUUCAUCUAGACCCUUCACAAUAACUACAGCCUUGUUUGCAACAAUGCAGUCAUUUAUUAUUCCAACAAAGGUAGCAGGAAUUUCAAUCAAAUUUUCACGCCGCCAUAUCUCAGGGUACCGCAUAACAAUAAUGUUUGGCUUGAGAUUCCCAAGACCCAUAGUCUGAACAAUGCCU